GUGUCCGUCCCACCAUCUCACUCUUUUACCACAGUGGUUCCAUUCACCAUCUUCUCUCCUUUCAGAAUUAAUUCAUUUUGUGGAUUUCUGCAAAAGUUGUUCCCUUCGUCUAAUUUGAGCUCCCAGUUGUCAUGGUAAGGAAGGCUUCCUUGCAAGUGAGAAAUAAUACCAAGACUCCCCAAUGAAGAUUAUCUGGAAAAGGGGUUUUACUCGGUUCGUUCUUGUGGCUGCAAUUAUUUGGGGUAUGCUCAUUCUAAUUGCUUUUGUUAUUUCAUGCUUGGUCUUGCCAGUCAUCUAUUGUUUUCUCUUUAGUUAACUAUUUCACACUUUCUUUCUUUUGUUUCCCUUGCUAUAUUUACGGAAGCAUUCUCAUUUGCUUUGCUUCAAGUUACUUUGGUGGAUGAGGGGUUUGCGGUAAUGAACAAUGUGAUUAAUCAUUGACGAACCUGAUUGAUAAACCUAGCAUAUUUAGCAUGUGGACUCUAAACACAAAUUAAAUGUUAUCCUCUUUUACAAGUUCCCUGCCUUUAUAGUUAAUGAAACCAUGGCGUAUUUGAAGCUGGAAGUAGUAUGUCUGAUCUUAUUAUUGCCAAUUUUUGUUUCAGAAAUUAAUUAGAAACCUAUACUUUUUACGUUUCAAGAUGGGAUUCUGCAUUUAUCUUCCUUUCUUGAUAUGGAGCCCUUUGUAACAAAAGCAGUAAAAUAUAUGAAAAGACAAGUUAUGGAAAAUAUGGAGCAAUAUAUGAACUUUCUAGAGGAGAUAUGGCGUUUAUAGUUUCCCUGGUAUGGCAGGGGCUGUUUUUGUUGUAAUUCUGUACCAUCCUGGUACCUUUUAAUAAAAUUUACCUUAUCAAAAAAAUAUGAAGUAGUACAUAGAAUUGGACUUGUAUUAACGGAUCUCAGUCACCACUUCCGUUUAGAGGACAUAUGGCAACAAAAAGAUGAGAGCUUUAAAGGUUAGCAUACCGACUUGUCUAACUUAAUUUGAGAGUUCAGCUGUUCCGGCACCUGUUUGUUGCAUUUACCUGGGCCAGUUUCUUCUUCUUUUUUAAAACUUUGGUAAAGACUAAGUUUUGCUCAUAGGAGCAGUGGCAAAUGUUUUGAAAAGGAAAUCUACCUUAGCUUUGGCUACAUGUACUACAUAUAAUAUAUAAUUAAAGUACAAAUCAGGUUUGGUGCUCUCUUGCUCCUUAAUUGCUUAUUCCAUUUUUGACAUGCAUUUGCAUGUUGCAAUCAAUGAAGUACUUAAGAUAAGUGUGUACCAUUCCCAAGUGAUAACAUUAGCAAAAUGGCUUGAAAAAGACUGCCAUACUCACCAAGUGAAUGUGAUUAUAUUCUGCUAAUAAAUACAAUUGAACAGGAAAGAGGAAUGAAAAUGAGUUACGUAAUCGGAGCGUUGUAUUUCUAAUUCCUAAGGAUUUGGUCUCCUUUUGUUAUUCUUGGAGUUCUUUUAAUAUAUACCUGUACACGUUAGAAUAGUUCCCAUUCUUUUUCAACUAAUAAUUGAGCAAAGUCGAGAGUUUGUUGUUGUAAUAACAUGCUGGAAUGAACUUCGUUGUGGGCUGAUUGCUAUUUUUUUCCUAUUUUGUUUUUUGAGUUUCAUUAUCACCGUCUUCAAGGAACUGCUGCAUCAGUCAAAAAUGACUUCAUUCCCUUAUUUUACUAAUUUGUAUACUUUAAUAGAUUUUAAACGCUAUGGAUUUUAAUACAGACAUUAUCAACAUCUUUUUAUUGUUUCUUCCACUGGAAUCUCUUAGCGAUGAGCAAGUUCUUUGUUUUUUUUGGCAUAAAAUUUCUUGCUUUCACAGAUUGAAGAUGUGGCAUUAUUUUCUUUGAGAAAUCCUUCUAAGGUUCCUUCAUGUUCGAGUAUUUGUACAACUUCCUGGUAGAUGCUUCGCAUUCUUAGUAUUGACAAAUUUUAAUAUGUUAAAUCUUUCCCAUUUUAAAGAGCGUCCUAUCGGAAGGUUUUUAAGUUGUUCGCCUGCAAUCAUUGAAGAAAUCUACUGCAAGUUAGAGGGUGAGUCUAUUCUUGAGUUUUAUGCAUUACUUUGUAUUAUGCUGGAUCUGACUGUUAGCUACAUUGAUCGGUAUCUCUCUUGUGAUGUGAUGGUAUGAUGGAUAGACAACUAUUAUAUAUCUAGGAGCAGUUUUGCAUGAUAACAUUGUAAGAGAUUGAUUCUGAUUAUUAGUAUGAGAAUGUAUGUAGCAAAGUAUAAGGCUUGUGCACUUCAAGUGCAAGAGUCUGCUACAUAAAACACUAUACUCCAGGAAGCAUGUAGCUUGGCCUUUUGAUCCACACGACAUCCUAUGCUGCAGCGAAAGAAAUUAUUUGCAAAUAAUAUCUGGAUCUGAAGGUAGGUCGCCGCACGCAAAUGGAUUGGCAUACUCCGUAAUACUUUUGGCUGACUUGGAAGACUCUCUGAGGUCCAUCAUUUUUGUUUGGUUUGCACGGGCAUUCUUUUGUAGGUGCCGCAUUACUUGGCUUAUGUGGUCUGCAUAAUGAGCCUAUUAUUUGGAGGAAAAAGAAAGACGAAAGAAGGUUUAUUUACAUGUAGUUUCCUCUGUUACUCCAUUAUAUAAUCAACUUGGGAUUUGGCGUGGCUAUUUUCUAAGUAGGUGACUACUUGCUAUUAGUCUGAGUUGUUUUCUUCUCAGAUAAUUAUUGUAAUUGCAUUUCAUGGGGUGUCCCUUGCAAUGUUUUGCAUUUAGUUGGGUAAUAGCAUUAGGAAGCCAAUCAGAAUCCGAAUAACUGGUGGUGCUUGUAAGUCCUAUUUUUCUUUGAUCAAAUCUGAUUUUCACUUUUCGAAUU
This is a long non-coding RNA of Lycium barbarum (goji berry), 2809 nucleotides long. RefSeq lists it as uncharacterized. The transcript is spliced from 2 exons. The record is from RefSeq and is a predicted model, not a curated record. NCBI's taxonomy places the organism in Eukaryota, Viridiplantae, Streptophyta, Magnoliopsida, Solanales, Solanaceae.